Molecule: ribosomal RNA, 496 nt
Filed under: uncultured bacterium
Lineage: Bacteria
Description: partial 16S ribosomal RNA
Rfam family: Bacterial small subunit ribosomal RNA
Source: RNAcentral
GAUGAACGCUGGCGGCGUGCCUAAUACAUGCAAGUCGAGCGAACAGAUAAGGAGCUUGCUCCUUUGACGUUAGCGGCGGACGGGUGAGUAACACGUGGGUAACCUACCUAUAAGACUGGGAUAACUUCGGGAAACCGGAGCUAAUACCGGAUAAUAUUUCGAACCGCAUGGUUCGAGAGUGAAAGAUGGUUUUGCUAUCACUUAUAGAUGGACCCGCGCCGUAUUAGCUAGUUGGUAAGGUAACGGCUUACCAAGGCGACGAUACGUAGCCGACCUGAGAGGGUGAUGGGCCACACGGGAACUGAGACACGGUCCAGACUCCUAGGGGAGGCAGCGGUAGGGAAUCUUCCGCAAUGGGCGAAAGCCUGACGGAGCAACGCCGCGUGAGUGAUGAAGGUCUUCGGAUCGUAAAACUCUGUUAUUAGGGAAGAACAUACGUGUAAGUAACGGUGCACGUCUUGACGGUACCAAAUCAGAAAGCCACGGCUAACUACGG